ACAAGCGGUGGAGUAGUGUGGUUUAAUUCGAUGCAACGCGAAGAACCUUACCUGGUCUUGACAUCCCGGAGACCCUUAGGAAACUAGGGGUGCUUCCAUCUGGAAGAAUCUGGAGACAGGUGCUGCAUGGCUGUCGUCAGCUCGUGUCGUGAGAUGUUGGGUUAAGUCCCGCAACGAGCGCAACCCUUGCCUUUAGUUGCCAGCAGUUCGGCUGGGCACUCUAAAGGGACUGCCGGUGUUAAACCGGAGGAAGGUGGGGAUGACGUCAAGUCCUCAUGGCCUUUAUGACCAGGGCUACACACGUACUACAAUGGCCGAUACAAAGGGCAGCGACACUGCGAGGUGAAGCCAAUCCCGUAAAAUCGGUCUCAGUCCGGAUUGGAGUCUGCAACUCGACUCCAUGAAGUUGGAAUCGCUAGUAAUCGUGGAUCAGCAUGCCACGGUGAAUACGUUCCCGGGCCUU
RNAcentral lists this ribosomal RNA (463 nucleotides) under uncultured Desulfobulbus sp. Its description in RNAcentral is "bacterial SSU rRNA". It matches the Rfam family "Bacterial small subunit ribosomal RNA", at positions 925 to 1382 of the family's 1533-position model. Lineage: Bacteria; Pseudomonadati; Thermodesulfobacteriota; Desulfobulbia; Desulfobulbales; Desulfobulbaceae. The record is from RNAcentral.